This 268-nucleotide ribosomal RNA is filed under the name uncultured prokaryote. RNAcentral's name for it is "partial 16S ribosomal RNA". It matches the Rfam family "Bacterial small subunit ribosomal RNA", at positions 524 to 792 of the family's 1533-position model. The record is from RNAcentral.
GACGAACCGUCCAAACGUUAUUCGGAAUCACUGGGCUUAAAGGGUGCGUAGGCGUCCGGCAAGUUGGGUGUGAAAUCCCUCGGCUUAACCGAGGAACUGCGCUCAAAACUGCCGGACUCGAGGGAGACAGAGGCGAGCGGAACUUGCGGUGGAGCGGUGAAAUGCGUUGAUAUCGCAAGGAACACCAGUAGCGAAGGCGGCUCGCUGGGUCUCUUCUGACGCUCAGGCACGAAAGCCAGGGGAGCGAACGGGAUUAGAUACCCCAGUA